RNAcentral lists this transfer RNA (71 nucleotides) under Camelus bactrianus (Bactrian camel). It matches the Rfam family "tRNA". From Rfam's summary of the family: Transfer RNA (tRNA) molecules are approximately 80 nucleotides in length. Their secondary structure includes four short double-helical elements and three loops (D, anti-codon, and T loops). The record is from Rfam by way of RNAcentral. Lineage: Eukaryota; Metazoa; Chordata; Mammalia; Artiodactyla; Camelidae. RNAcentral also lists the same sequence under 2 other names.
GAGCGUGUAGCUCAGUGGUGGAGUGCAUGCCUAGCAUGCACAAGGUCCUGGGUUCAAUUCUCAGUACCUCU